RNAcentral lists this ribosomal RNA (156 nucleotides) under uncultured bacterium. Its description in RNAcentral is "partial 16S ribosomal RNA". It matches the Rfam family "Bacterial small subunit ribosomal RNA", at positions 355 to 509 of the family's 1533-position model. The record is from RNAcentral.
UGAGGAAUAUUGGUCAAUGGCGGGAGCCUGAACCAGCCAAGCCGCGUGAGGGAAGAAGGUACAGCGUAUCGUAAACCUCUUUUGUCAGGGAACAAAGGCGGGGACUAGUCCCGGGAUGAGGGUACCUGAAGAAAAAGCAUCGGCUAACUCCGUGCC